UACGUAGGGGGCAAGCGUUGUCCGGAUUUAUUGGGCGUAAAGAGCGUGUAGGCGGCUUGGUAGGUCCGCUGUGAAAACUCGAGGCUCAACCUCGAGAUGUCGGCGGAAACCACUUGGCUAGAGUCCGGAAGAGGAGAGUGGAAUUCCUGGUGUAGCGGUGAAAUGCGCAGAUAUCAGGAAGAACACCUAUGGCGAAGGCAGCUCUCUGGGACGGUACUGACGCUGAGACGCGAAAGCGUGGGGAGCGAACCGG
This 253-nucleotide ribosomal RNA is filed under the name uncultured bacterium. Its description in RNAcentral is "partial 16S ribosomal RNA". It matches the Rfam family "Bacterial small subunit ribosomal RNA", at positions 524 to 776 of the family's 1533-position model. The record is from RNAcentral.